UUCUGAUGUGUGAAAUGUGCUUUGGGGAGCAUCAAGAAGCAGGAGGGUUCGAAGGGGUGUGGGGCGAAGGAGGGGAGAGACAGGGGGGAGCGGGGGUUAGAGCGCGCUGCGGUGGUUUGGGAUCGGGGGUUUAGCGAGCGGCCCCUCUCCGGCCUUCCCGCCCUCCGGCCUCCGCCUGCGGCGAGCGGCCGCGGCUACCUCCACUUCGACACCUUGCUGUUCGCGCUCGCCCUCGAGGACCUCUCGGACCGCCUGGACAUGCGCUAGUAGUUCCGGUGCCUCUUCGACCUCGCGCGGAUGCAGGCGCUGGAGCAGAGGCGGCGGCUGAUGCUCCGGCUGACGGAGUUCGAGUAGAGGGUCAAAUUGAGGGAGAGGAGGAGGGAGCGGCCCCAGCAGUGGUAGGGCGCGAAGCACGUCCGGAUGGCGGAGCUGACGGGGCGGCGGGAGUUGGCGGAGCAGGUCAGGCCGCAGGGGCGGUGGUAGCUCGAGGCGCGGCGGUGGCGGAGGAGGAGGCGCGGCCGGCGGUGGCGCCGGAGGCGUAGGCGGUAGCGGGUCACGCAGGUCUCGAAGUAGUGGCGGUACCUGCGGCAGUUCGAGUUAUACGAGCGGUUGCUGGUCCAGGCGGGGGACGAGGUGCUGGAGAGGUGGAGGUACCCCUUCGAGCCAUGGCAGGACGGCGGGCUGAAGCUCCCCUUCCAGUUCCACUUGCUCACCGAGCGCUUCGACGUAUUCUACCCCCGGCCCCUGCUCGAAUGUCUAGUCGUCCGGUCUGUCGAGUUAAAACUAGACCUUAGUCGCAUAUCACGCAAAUACCGGAGCGAAGGGUGACGACCGGACACUUGUUCCUAGCCGAACCAAGACUCAACUAAGAAGAAAGACAAAACAGUACGAGAACAGAACGUUACCAUAUGUAUACACAUUAAACCGAGUUAGAUAUAGCAAACACAUGUUGUUACGGUUAGAAUACCUUUCAACGAGGGAUGUCUAGCUAACAAAGUAUGACAAAUAUCCCUGGGAACUAACAUAAGUCGCAUGUCACACAAAUACCGG
RNAcentral lists this ribosomal RNA (1050 nucleotides) under Triticum aestivum (bread wheat). Its description in RNAcentral is "partial small subunit ribosomal RNA". The record is from RNAcentral. Lineage: Eukaryota; Viridiplantae; Streptophyta; Magnoliopsida; Poales; Poaceae.